Molecule: long non-coding RNA, 224 nt
Filed under: Phoenix dactylifera (date palm)
Lineage: Eukaryota; Viridiplantae; Streptophyta; Magnoliopsida; Arecales; Arecaceae
Description: long non-coding RNA (PDAC_LNC018541)
Source: RNAcentral
UGACCAACAUGUGAGGGAAGACGGGUGUUGCCUAAUUGAUGAAAUGGAUGAUCUUGUAGAGGAAGCCCUUCCCUAUAUCUUAGCAGAUGACCCCCUAGAGGCAUGCUUGGCCCAUUUUGACAUUGACAACUUUGACAUAGACAAGGCCAUAGAAGAAGUCAACAUCUUACUCGACAAUCAAUCUCCCAUGAGUUCCCUUCCUUGGAAGAUCCGACCUGAACCUC